GCUUUUAGGCUGCCUCCCCACCCCCCAUCCCCAAGGUGAUCUUGUCUGAGCUUGGAAGCUAAGCAAGGUCAGGCCUGGUUAGCACUUGGAUGGGAGACUGCCUGGGAAUAUCAGGAGCUGAAGUCU
RNAcentral lists this ribosomal RNA (126 nucleotides) under Salvator merianae (Argentine black and white tegu). The record is from RNAcentral. Lineage: Eukaryota; Metazoa; Chordata; Lepidosauria; Squamata; Teiidae.